GAUGAAGAACGCAGCGAAAUGCGAUAAGUAGUGUGAAUUGCAGAAUUCAGUGAAUCAUCGAAUCAUUGAACGCACAUUGCGCCCCUUGGUAUUCCAUGGGGCAUGCCUGUUCGAGCGUCAUUUGUACCUUCAAGCUUUGCUUGGUGUUGGGUGUUUGUCUCGCCUUUGCGUGUAGACUCGCCUUAAAAUAAUUGGCAGCCGGCGUAUUGAUUUCGGAGCGCAGUACAUCUCGCGCUUUGCACUCAUAACGACAGCGUCCAAAAGUACAUUUUACACUCUUGACCUCGGAUCAGGUAGGGAUACCCGCUGAACUUAAGCAUAUCAAUAAGCGGAGGA
Molecule: unclassified non-coding RNA, 336 nt
Filed under: soil metagenome
Description: partial contains 5.8S ribosomal RNA, internal transcribed spacer 2, and large subunit ribosomal RNA
Rfam family: 5.8S ribosomal RNA (bases 1-120)
Source: RNAcentral